Molecule: non-coding RNA, 55 nt
Organism: Ovis aries (sheep)
Lineage: Eukaryota; Metazoa; Chordata; Mammalia; Artiodactyla; Bovidae
Source: Rfam
AGCUCAGAGGUUAAAGCAUCUGCCUGCAAUGCAGGAGACCUGGGUUCGAUCCCUG